UCCACUCUACACCUGUGCACCAACUGUGGGCUUUUUGGUGGACUUGCUUAAUCGUCCUUCACCGGGCGUUGAGGCUUGUUGACCUUGGCCUGCGUUUUCAUACAAACCCUGUAAAAAGUAAAAAGAAUGUGUAUUGCGAUAUAACGCAUUUAUAUACAACUUUCAGCAACGGAUCUCUUGGCUCUCGCAUCGAUGAAGAACGCAGCGAAAUGCGAUAAGUAAUGUGAAUUGCAGAAUUCAGUGAAUCAUCGAAUCUUUGAACGCACCUUGCGCUCCUUGGUAUUCCGAGGAGCACGCCUGUUUGAGUGUCGUGAAAUUCUCAACCUACACGACUUUUGUUGCGUAGGCUUGGACUUGGAGGCAUUGCCGAUGUUUUUAUCAACGUUGGCUCCUCUCAAAUGCAUUAGCUAGUGUCCUUUGCGGAUCAGCUUUUCGGUGUGAUAAUUGUCUACGCCGUGGUUGUGAAGCGUUUUUGACCAGCUUCUAAUGGUCUUGUGAAAGAGACAAAAGAAAUUCAUU
Molecule: ribosomal RNA, 519 nt
Filed under: Picipes badius
Lineage: Eukaryota; Fungi; Basidiomycota; Agaricomycetes; Polyporales; Polyporaceae
Description: eukaryotic LSU rRNA
Rfam family: 5.8S ribosomal RNA (bases 158-311)
Source: RNAcentral